UGACCCCCGGCCUCCUGUUCCGGGAACGAAACCGCCACCGCCACCCAUGUCGAGGCUGGGCCUCAACAUCGACCUAGACGACGUCGCCAGGCGCCUCAGCUUCUCCCCGGACCCCGACCGCCCGCCGCAGAUGCCGCCGCGCCAGGUUGGGAGGUUCCGGGUGCAGCCGGCGCUCUCGCCGAUCGCCGAGGAGCAAGAGGCGGCGGCGACGGCGACGCACACCCCCGCGCGUCCUCCGCCAUGGGUCUCCUCACCGUCGCCGGCGCCGCCCUCCGCGCCUCACACGGGGACCUACGAGAGUCCUGCGAUGUCCCUACCCCCCGUGUCGCCGUCGCCAUCGCCAUUCCGCACGCAGGUCCCGGCUCCUCCCACGCCGCAGCAGGUUGCGGCGGCGCUGGGGAAAUUGGAGCAGGCACGCCAAGCCGGGCUGCAGCAGGCGUGGGUGGCGGCGCAGCAGCAGCAGGCGCUCGCGUUCGCGCUCGGGGGAUGGGAGCAGCGACGUCAGGCCGGGCUGCAGCAGUCAUGGGCGCACCCGCAGCCGCAGCAGGCGGCCGCGGCCGCAUUGGAGCAGGGACGUACGUCGGGGCCGCAGCAGGCGUGGGCGCAAGCGCAGCAGCAUCCGGAGCCCCAGCAGCAGCUGAGGCUGUACACGGUGGAAGGGGAACCCGCGGGGUACAAGACCAAGUGGGAGGAGCUCCAUCCCUUCUCCCAGCACCUCCUGCUACAGAUCGAGGACAAGAUAAGGGAGGAGAGGCAUGCGUGUGAGCAGUUGGAGCAAUGCAGCCGCCUCUGCGACCCGUCAGUCUCCAGUAGCAGUUUUGAACUGGAUGCUCGUCAGAUUACACAGGAGAUUGGGUCAAUCUCCACCAUCAUGAACAGGGAGAAGGCUUCCAUUCAGAGAUUAAUGGAUGCUGUCAAAGAAAGUAUGUCCACUGCAGAAUUUGCUAUAGGUUCAUAUGUGAACUUGAGACCGUGGUUUGUCAGCAGAGGUGCUGGAAUUGCAAAUACCAGUUCUGCAAACCAUGGUGGAUCUUCAGCCGCUCGUACUCAUGGUUCUGUAAGGCGGCCCUCUACCUUUAUGCAGCGCAUUGUUGACAGAUUUGAGAAGCAACUUGAAGAGUGUUGCAAAUUGAUUGGAGAGCUAGAGCAGCUUGUUCAGAUGAAGAAUACUAAAACAUAUCCACCUUCUUUGGAAUCUCUGCCAAAAGUUAUGUCGAACAUGCAUGACUAUUUUAUCUAUGUUGCUUCUAAGGUGGAAAAUCUUCAUCAAUAUGCUGAUGCAAUAAGGAUUCAAUAUCUUAAUGAUAUGCGGAACAGUGGUAAUCGGAAUGAUCCAUUUGUGGAAGCGGAUAGAAAAGAGGCAGCGAAACAAGAAGCCGCUUCAAGAACAGUCCAUCCAACAUUGGCUGUAAGUAAACCUUCAAUUUGUAUAGCAGUUCUCAGUGUUCUCACAAGUAACACUUGAUGUAGUCAGGCCCACCCGUCUCCACACAGAAUGGUGAUGCCCCGAAGCAGGCGUCAGAUGUGCAACUGAAUCAGCUUCGCAUCAGUCCUUUUUCUUUUUGGAGAUUCGAUCGUCAUGCUCGUCGGUGGCACUUCACGUGCGUAAUCAGUGACAUGGACCGCGACUGGGGAAGCUGCGAAGAAGCGACGCCCGGCAACAACCACUUGGGACGGGUCAACUUUUUGCUUGGUUUGCUUGGUUUUUAGGAGUAGGAAAUGGUUGGUCAUAGUGGUGCUUCAGGUCGUUGUCUCCAAUGAGCACACGAUUCAGUCAGGUCACACAGCUAGCUUCCCGGGUAAUGCGACAGAAGGCAGCCCAGUUUGCUACGACCAUUCCCAUGACGGGAUUCUCUGAAUUUUGGCGUAUAUUCUUCCUCUCCCUCUCUAGUUUAGAGUGCGAUAUACCGUACUAGGUUGCUCAGGUUUGGGAUCAUGUACAGGUCUUUGUGUGAAGAUGGUUCAUAUAUACUAGCUGUGAUUACUGGUCAGGUAGAAAAAUGCAUAGGAACUGUACAGAAGUUGGAAGGGAGCAAACUCCCACCAAAAAUAUGGAAGUGGUCAAGUGGAUAGAUAUACAAUCGACCUCAUAUCUGUU
Molecule: RNA transcript, 2098 nt
Organism: Lolium perenne
Lineage: Eukaryota; Viridiplantae; Streptophyta; Magnoliopsida; Poales; Poaceae
Gene name: nuclear pore complex protein NUP58
Source: RefSeq, a predicted model, not a curated record